Ruditapes philippinarum (Manila clam) is the source of this 2214-nucleotide long non-coding RNA. RefSeq lists it as uncharacterized. The record is from RefSeq and is a predicted model, not a curated record. Lineage: Eukaryota; Metazoa; Mollusca; Bivalvia; Venerida; Veneridae. The transcript has 2 exons.
GUGCAGAUGUAUAUACUGCAAUUGAAUGUACAGAUGUGUUUAUUGUAUUGGUGUACAGAUGUGUAUAUUGUAUUGAUGUACAGAUAUGUGUAUUGUAUUGUUGUACAGAUAUGUAAAAUGUAUUGAUGUACAUAUGUGUAUAUUAUAUUGAUAUACAGAUGUGUACAUUGUAUUGAUGUACAGAUGUGUAUAUUGUAUUGAUGUACAGAUGUGUACAUUAUAAUGAUAAACAGAUGUCCUGUGUAUAUAUGUACAAGGUUUAAUGUAUAAUGUAAAUAUUGUCCAAUCUCUAGUCAGAUCUCUUUAAACUUUACUUUAGCUAACAUUUUGUAAUGGACUUGCCCAGAUUUGACUUUAGAGCAGUCCAUUGUUCAUCGAAGGGAGUGAAAUAUGAAAUGGCUCUGUAAGUGGCGGCCAUGGCAAAUCUAGAUCACUAACUGCAUUCAGAAUGUUUAAAGUACUUUGGUGUUGUGACAUCAAUGGCAUUUUUGUCUUUUAAUUAAAGUUUGUUAUUCUAAUCAUUUGUUAUAGAAUUGAUACUGUGUAGAUAGUGAAAAAUUACCCGUAUGUUGAUAUGUCAGUUUUGAUAAUUGCUUGUGAAACAUGGACUUUAUUAAUAAGGGUAACAUUAAGGCCAGGAGCUUAUGCUUUCACAUUUAUUUUUGUUUAUUUUAAUUGUUCUGGUAAAGAUAAAUGAUGUACUGUAUCAUAGGGUGUAGGGUCAGAUUAUGUUCUCUGUAUAUUACUUCCAGAUAACUGAACAGCUUCAGAUUUAAAUACUACACUUUAUUUUAUGUUAACCACUAAAAUACUGGAUUUUUACCCGAGAAAUAAAAGCCAUAUCACUCAAUAUCACUCAUGUGUAGUUUAUCACAAAUGUGCACUAUAUCACUCGCACUGUGAUUGAUAUAGAUUUACAAAACUUUUUGUUAAAGAGUGUAUUAAUUUGUGUGAUUCCAUAUUGUUGAUUUGUAUUUUGUUCUUUAUGGCAUAUAUCUUAAUUAAAAUGUCAUUUCCCAACUAAAAUAUUCAAGAAGGACUGCAGUUAUGACUGAAAAUUUAAUAACUUGUUUGUGCAGCAUUUGCAUAGCUGUUGAACGUCUAACGAUGUCUUAUUUUGUGCAUCUGUUUCCAGCACUUCAUUGAAAACAGUUAGAAAUAAUUAAUGUUUUCCUUUACAUAUUAGGCAUAGAAUAAAAAAGGCAUAAAAUAAAAGAAUUUUUUCUUAGUGAAUAUGCUAUAUACAUGUAUUGGACAUUGAGGUGAGAAAAUGUCCACAUUUUAACUUGUGCUGUACAUUGGUGAAAAUGUUGCAAUUUUCUCACUCCUUAAUGUAGUACAAUAUUUCUGUCACAAGAAAUUAUAUAAUUAUUUUUCAUUGUUGUUUUUUCUUUGGGUUUUUUUUUUCGAAGUUUAUCCAUCAAACAUUAGGCACAAUGAUAAUUUGCUGUUAACAGGGAAAUAAUGAUUAAAGAUUGCUUAUGUUCUGUGAACAAUACAUAUGUAAGUCUGAACAGUGGUUGCUGCAUUAUCAAUAGUUUUAUGUCAUACAGAUAUCAUAGCAAAUGUCUCCUUGAAUUUAUAACUAUGUGCCUAUAUGUGUACAAGUUAUAAAAAUUAACACUGUUCUGUUCUGUAUCAUACAUCAAGACAAGGCUCUAAAAAUGUUUCACAUAUGAUUAAAAUGUCUGUUAAAUUGUCUAUAAUUAAUUCCUAAUUAAUUGCUUUCAUUAAUUUAUAUUGUAAUUGGAAGUCUAACAUUCCAUUAUUCAAGAUCUGUGUUAAUAUUCUGUUAUAUUUGUUUAUUAAAUUUUGUUUAAUAUGCAUGUACCAUUAUUUAUUGUUUUAACUACCUGUGCUUUUAACCUUGAUUAUGCUUGAGAAAAUACUUUCAUGAAUAUGAAACUAUAAUACUUUACUAUAAACAGUCAGUUCAUUAUGUUAAUUUAAUGACCAAUGUGUAAGAAAAAUUAGACAAUACUUGUUAUUAGGAACUCCACUAAGUUCCAAAAGCUUAAAAAACAAAAUCUGAAAUACUUUACAUAGCUCAAAUGUUGCACUCGUAACUAAAAAAAUACAAAGGAUAUUAAAAAAGAUAAAAUGAUUAAAAUCUGAAAUCAUGUUUUUGUGAUUUUUAGCCUUUAAUUGAAAUGCUUUUCAUUUCUGGGCCAUUUUGCACAAGAUAAAAUCCUCAGUGGAGUAACUUUAAUAUUU